GAAAAAAAUAUGUAAAAAGUAAAAGGAAAAAAGAUCUUUGACAUUUUUAUAUAAUUUGUUGAAUAUUUGAUUAUUUUACUAACUUUUUAAUUCUAAAUUAAAAAGUAAUAUUCUCCGACGAAGCUAAGUGCAAAGAAAUUUGAGGUCCAACCAAUCUCUUAUCUAUAGUUGUUCGUGCCUCUUUCAAAAUUGGGGGAAAAAACAAAACAUAAGCCUUAGAGCAAAACAAAAGCUAGCCACACAUAAGAGUCACUCAAAGAUUAAUUGAACUUCAAAGAAUGAGAAAUUGGAGGCCUAAAACUCAACAUUAUUGAUCUUCUCUCGUCUUUCAUCCAUCAUAAAUAGUGAAGAUCCAAGGCAACAAAGCUCUGCUCCUCCACCAUCCUCUACGACCUCUUCCUCAACACCUUCUCCUCCGACUCCUCCCUCCGAUCUACCACCGUCGCCGACCACCACCACCACUAUCAAAGCCUGUCCAUCUACCCAUCAUCGUUCCCGGGAAUCAGAUUCACCUCGGUCGGUGGAUUUUCCGGGUUUCGCAUUCCAGCACGAAUUCAGGGUGAAGAUGAGGAGCACAACGACAUUUCCGACAAGCCGUCCUCUACUUCCUCUGAUUCGUACCACUGAUUUGAGCUCCAAAACCAAAUCAAUCUCUCUCUAUCAGUACUCAAUCAUCAACCCAUUGGAGUAACCAAGAAUCAGUUGUUAUCACUAUUUCAGAGAGAGAGAGAGAGAGAGAGAGAGAGAGAGAGAGUUUGGUCAGUUUAAUCCAAUGGCUACUCGUUACCGUAGGAAGAAGAAAUCUGAGUGUGUUUUCAGGUUUUUCAAUCCCGGCGUGCUUUCUAUUUUGAUUUUUUUAAAAGUAUACACACAAACUGGUUCUUAUAUACACAUCCAACUUAGAGAAAAUUCAAAUUUCUUCGGGUUCAACCGCGAGAAAAUUCAGUCCAACAACAUAGAGAUAAUUCAGACCAACCAAACCAGAGAAUUUUGUAACUUGUUGCUGAGAGCAGGCUAUCAAUGUUUGAGGACAUAGGAAACCUUAGCAGGGAUUUGAUAAUGGAAAGUAUGUAUAUAAUAUUGUAUUGUUGCCUUUCUUCCUCACCUUUGAGAAGUAAGGAAGUGAGUUGAGGUAGAAGAAUUCUCAUGUUCAAAAAAAAAAAAAAGGGGGCAGAGAAAUUUACAGUUGGAAGUUUAGGGAAGUCCAAAGAAAUAAAGAAUUUCUCUGAACUAAUUUUCUCUGACUUGAAUUUUCUAUUUGAUGUCAUUUCUACUAUAAAAUCAUAAUAUCAAGGACCUUAAAAAAAUACCCCAUUUUUAAAUAGUUAACCUUAAAUUUAUAGUAUUACUGCCUUCGUUAUUUUUCAUGGAACCAAAAAUAGGGUUAAUGAGGGAUUUAGAAAUGCACAGCAACAAUUAUUGUACGGGAUUCAUUUUGGGACUCAUUUAAAUGAUCUGAAUCAUUCACAUUUUGCUAUACAUCGAUUAAAACAUAUCUAAACAAAAUUAAAUUGAUCGGAUAUU
Non-coding RNA from Camellia sinensis, 1524 nucleotides. NCBI's taxonomy places the organism in Eukaryota, Viridiplantae, Streptophyta, Magnoliopsida, Ericales, Theaceae. The record is from RefSeq and is a predicted model, not a curated record.